Molecule: ribosomal RNA, 441 nt
Filed under: Escherichia coli
Lineage: Bacteria; Pseudomonadati; Pseudomonadota; Gammaproteobacteria; Enterobacterales; Enterobacteriaceae
Description: partial 23S ribosomal RNA
Rfam family: Bacterial large subunit ribosomal RNA
Source: RNAcentral
AUAUCGACGGCGGUGUUUGGCACCUCGAUGUCGGCUCAUCACAUCCUGGGGCUGAAGUAGGUCCCAAGGGUAUGGCUGUUCGCCAUUUAAAGUGGUACGCGAGCUGGGUUUAGAACGUCGUGAGACAGUUCGGUCCCUAUCUGCCGUGGGCGCUGGAGAAUUGAGGGGGGCUGCUCCUAGUACGAGAGGACCGGAGUGGACGCAUCACUGGUGUUCGGAUUGUCAUGCCAAUGGCACUGCCCGGUAGCUAAAUGCGGAAGAGAUAAGUGCUGAAAGCAUCUAAGCACGAAACUUGCCCCGAGAUGAGUUCUCCCUGACUCCUUGAGAGUCCUGAAGGAACGUUGAAGACGACGACGUUGAUAGGCCGGGUGUGUAAGCGCAGCGAUGCGUUGAGCUAACCGGUACUAAUGAACCGUGAGGCUUAACCUUACAACGCCGAAG